GAAUCACAGUUACCCGCAUCGUUGUGUAUCAACCGUUGAUAUUGCUCCCCGUAUUCAAUCUCAAUCGUCCAUUUACUAUGACGCCCCUAUAAGUUUAGGGUUUCCCUCCUUCCUAUUCCCUCCAUCAUUCCAUUGAGUCCUUUGCCUAUCGUUUUUGCAGAUCUACUCUUUGUUUCUUCCUUCUAUGCAUUUUCGGCUCUGGAUCUUGCUGGAUCGCUGAGCAAUCUACGUUUUGGUAUUCUUUUUGCAACGUGUAGUUGUUGGAUCUUAAUCUUUUUCAGGUUCGUAAUCUUUCCUCUUUCCUUCAGAAUUGUCACAAGGUCUGGAUCUGAGAGUUGACUCUUGUAUUCUUCCUACCAUGAAGAUCUGCUACGGUUAGUCGAGUUUUUCGAUUUAGUUUUCGCACAGGAUCAGGCUGAUUCGCUGAACUGCUGUUUGAUAUGCAGUUUCUGGCUUAAAUAUGCUUCAAAUCUUUUUAGCACCCUAAGGCGAGUUUCAAUAAGUCACCAAUGGCACCCAUGGUGGUUCUAGACUGCGAUAGUUGUUCGUUUUCAGAUUGUGGCUCGGUCGUCGAACUCCCCACUCGUCGGAUAUUACAUCUACUAUUGCAUCGAACGAAGAAUAGUGGCUGAUCAUUCAAGAUUGUGGUUUGUUAACUGUAUCGGAGGAUGAUCAAAAUCUGCUAGUUAGAUGCAGCUCACUGUUGUGGAUGUGUUGUACUAACAAAGCAAAAGAUGCAGAUGACAGGUUUAUAGAUGUGUAGGACAUCGGGACUCUGGGCCCAAAGGGGGCUUUGUUUCGAUUGUUCUUUGUCACCAGACCUUUGCCAUGACAGGUGCGCUUGUAUGGCAGGUCACCAAAGCCUAAUAAAAAGUUCAUAUUUUUUUGCUCGAGGAGGGAUCGCACGGGGAUUUGCCCGGGUUCCCUCCUCGUGUGCCGUGUCCUGCUUUUUGUUUUUUUUUAUUUCCAUAUUUACUAGUUCCUGAACUGCCAAAGCCAAUCAAAUCCGAACCAGCGUCAUCGUUUUAUGAGCUCCAUGCGAUUAUGGUCUCUCCCCAGCGAGGUUCAUCUUCCAUUAAAGGUACACACUACCUAAAGCCUUUGUUUAUUUGAAGUCGUUAAUAUUUUACAGCAAAAAAAAAAAAAAAUACAACGGAGAAGAAAAUCAACAGUACAAUUUAAAAUUUAAGUAGUUUUUAUAGCAAUUAUGAUUUUUGAUUAUAUCUUUUUAAAGCAUCUAUGUUAUUUUUCUUUACCAAAAUAUACACUUUUAUCAACGUAAAGUAAAAUGAGAAUUGCAGUAAUUUUUUAACAGCACGCUAUGAGCGCAACCAUCUUUUUAAAAUUUAGUAAACAAGCUUUCGACUUAACUGUCUUCAAUCUCUAUUAUAUUUCCCCAACAUGAUCAAUUGUCAUUUCAAAUUUGAAGAUCUGAGGAGGAAUGUUUUAUGAAAUUAUUAUACCUAGAAUUAUGCUUUCCCCACGCAAUAUAUUAAAAUUUUAGAAUGUUUGACUAGAAUUUUUAUUCUACAUUUGAAGCAAUGAUAUGAGAAGUGGGGGCGACAACUUCAAUGAUAUUACCUUCUUGCUAGACAUGUAGUAGAAUUAAUUCUUUAUAACCCUAGAAAAGGCUUUCUACAACCAUGUUAUGGAAAUGAAGUGUUAAUUAUGUUUUACUCUACUUGGGCAUUAAUUUUCAAGUCCUAGAAAAGGCUUUCUACAACUAUCACUUAAAAUUCUUUUUGAAGUCCUAUGAAUAUCCAACACCCUCUUAUGGCAGAAGAAUAAAAUUCACUACUAAAAGAUAAUGAUUCAUUAAUUUGAUAUUCAAUAUACAUUCCCACCAUUGAAGACGAACCACUGCAGUUUCAAUGUGUUCUGUGGUUUGGGUAAACGUCAUGCUUGUUUCUUGUUCUAUUUUAACGCAAUGUCGUCUACCAUUUGCACUUGCAUACCAAUUUGUUCAUUGUUACCAUCUUCAAGGCGUAAUUAUUUGUUUUAGUUAUUCUAAAUUUGUUCGGGCAAGUUGUAUCUGUUUUAUUGUUUUGAAAGGUCCCCCAUUAGUAAUUUGAAGGGGGUUCUGCCAACAUGUAAUGGACAUUUCUGGUGCGGAUGGUCCUCAGGUGAUUUCAGUGUGUACACUAGGUCAUCAGUAGGUUUGUAUUAUGCAUGUAUUGUUAUUGUAUUCUGUUGAAUUGCAAAAUUGUUAAGGCAAAGCAUUUUGUGCUGGUUGCUGUGUUGGCUGGUAUACGAGGAUGGUGGCUGCUGGUGCGGAAGAAUGCCUGCUGAGAACCUAGUACACAAGGGAUGAUUGCACAAUUUUUUACCAGCCUGACAUAUUUCUCAUGCACUGCUGGCUGUGAUAGCUUUGGAAAUUUGGAUGCUGUGGUGAUUUGUUCAAGAAAGGAUCAUCUAUUUUUCACAUUUAUAUUGGAUGCUGAUUUUCUUGCUUCCCUGGGCGUCCUGUUGUAUUCCAUCCAAAAUGUACAAAUGAAUCUUUAGAGCUGCUCCGUAGAUGCUAGAAGAAUUUCGACUGUUUGAUGAACAAUCAAUUAUAAUGAUUUUAUGAAGAAGCCUUAAAAGUGAUUUAUGAAGUUGGUUGGUCUUCAACAGAAGCGGGAGCCGAAACCCUACAGUCUGCUUUAUAAUCUUGGAGGGUCAAGACAGACUUAUGAGGUAGCUGUGGAAUUUUACACCCAUUCUUUUACAACUAAUGGCUGCAGAAUUUAUUUGGCAGAAAAUUAUCCUAUAUUAGUAUUUACAUGAUGAAAAUCUAUUCCAAGUACGCAUGAGAAGCAUUAGCAGGCAAGCAUAAAAUCAGGUUGUUUUUAUUCUGAUUAUUAUAUUUAUUCCUUGCCCUGAUUAUUAUGUUUUUCCCCUCCCAUUUGAGUUGGAAUGUUAAAAUUAAAAUGUGAAUAAUAUUUUAGUACAAGUAAUCUUUUGAGGA
Malania oleifera is the source of this 2947-nucleotide long non-coding RNA. RefSeq lists it as uncharacterized. NCBI's taxonomy places the organism in Eukaryota, Viridiplantae, Streptophyta, Magnoliopsida, Santalales, Ximeniaceae. The record is from RefSeq and is a predicted model, not a curated record. The transcript is spliced from 4 exons.